UACGAAGGGGGCUAGCGUUGCUCGGAAUUACUGGGCGUAAAGCGUGCGUAGGCGGUUCGUUAAGUCUGUCGUGAAAGCCCUGGGCUCAACCUGGGAAUUGCGAUGGAUACUGGCGAGCUAGAGUACGGUAGAGGAUGGUGGAAUUCCCGGUGUAGCGGUGAAAUGCGUAGAGAUCGGGAGGAACACCCGUGGCGAAGGCGGCCAUCUGGACCAGUACUGACGCUGAGGCACGAAAGCGUGGGGAGCAAACAGG
RNAcentral lists this ribosomal RNA (253 nucleotides) under uncultured bacterium. RNAcentral describes it as "partial 16S ribosomal RNA". It matches the Rfam family "Bacterial small subunit ribosomal RNA", at positions 524 to 776 of the family's 1533-position model. The record is from RNAcentral.